This 1324-nucleotide long non-coding RNA is filed under the name Heterocephalus glaber (naked mole-rat). Its description in RNAcentral is "lncRNA (ENSHGLG00000033677.1)". The record is from RNAcentral. Lineage: Eukaryota; Metazoa; Chordata; Mammalia; Rodentia; Bathyergidae.
AUUUUGCAAUACAGAUUUAAUAACAAAGCAGAUCAAACGAAGCUGAGAAACUAUGCACAGAUGUGCCUCAAAUCCUAUGUAAACACUUUUCUUAGAGUUGUAAGGCACUUAAAUGACUUUUUAUGUAACCUCCUCUAGCAAUCUUAAUAUCAGGGUUUUCGUCCACAGAACAGCGUCCUUUGCGAAGGGGCAAAGCGUCCUCAUCUAGCCUUGCUCCUGACUGGCAGCAGCUUGCCUGGCACCCACCCCUGCCUAGGUGCGCGUUUGAUAAAUGUCUUGCCGGCGGCGACGUUCAGUUGCCAUUCUCCACCACGCCGUGCACCUGCUCAGCAUCUCGCAGUCUCCACGGCCAGUCCCCGAGCCCAGGACCCCUCCCUCGCCGCACGGCCCCCUCCGUUCAUCCCGCCCGGGCCCUGGCGGAAACUGCCCGACCCCAGGCGGGAGCGGCGGGGCGGGCGGGGAAAGUGCUCGUAAUCACAUGGAGGCCCGGGCCCGCCCCAUUGGCUGCGGCCGGGCCAGUCGCAGCGCUCGCAGGCUGCGGUUGGUCCCGGAGCUGCAGCGCCUGCUCGGGCCCGGAGUCCAUGUUACGCUUUGUCUAAUUCCCCUCGUUACAGAGUCAUGUGCUGCUGCUCCAGUCGCCGUCGCUGCCGCCGCCCGUGGUGCCCCGGCUCCUCCGCCGCGCUUCGAGGUGGCCGCCGCGGGCGGGGCCGCGGGAGCAGGGUCCAGGGCGCCGCGCACCCCCGCCGCCCCGGCGCGUCCCGGAGCAGCCGCCGCCUGCCGCAGGUGAUGCCUCCGCCUCCCGCCUCCGCCUAAGCCGUGGCUCGGCGGCCGAGCUGCCCCAAAGGUCGGAAGUGCACGGCCGGGGUCCCAGGAUGGAGGAGUGAAGUCUCGCGCCGCGGUCCCAGCCUCCGGAGCCCGCCCGAAGCCCAGUCCCCGAGAGCGCCCUGACGGAGCAGGGUGGCCGCCGGGUCCAGGUGCACGCGGGGUGGGUGCGGACAUACGGGCUGUGCUUUGCCACUGUGCCGCGUGGGUGUUGUAGGUCGCCAGCCUUGCCGGCCGGCUCCCCCAGGGGCUCUGCCAGACUGUUACCGCCACUGCCGCCCAGGUGUGUCAGGCAUGAGCGGGAAGCUCCGGCCAGCGCGUGUCCUUCAGGAGUCUCUAGCUGUCCUCACCACCCUCUCUGCUGCCUAGAGCAGCCGCUCUUUGUUCCUCUCUGGCCGGGGGUUGUCCACGUAGAUGUUCUGGAAGGCCUGAAACAACUGAGUAUUACUGAGAGCCAGGCCAGCACAAACUGAGGGAAUUAGUGAUGCAGACACAAAACUAC